Molecule: non-coding RNA, 418 nt
Organism: Paramuricea clavata
Lineage: Eukaryota; Metazoa; Cnidaria; Anthozoa; Malacalcyonacea; Plexauridae
Source: the annotation of a GenBank genome assembly
GUCAAGGCCCAUGAUAGCUGAAAGACUUAUUAUUAUUCAGCUGGCUAAAUGCAUUUGAAAAUUAUCUUUAGUCAUGCAUUGUGCCAGAACACUCUCCUCAGCAGACCCGGAUGAAUAAACACAAAUUAAGCUAGCCUCGUGUUUAUUUCUUGGGUAUAUAGCCCACAUGUUUAACUAUAUAUAUAGCUAUAGCCUUCGUGUUUAACGAGGAUGUUGAUGGGGUAUAUUGUGAGUCGUGAUUCACUAAAUUUCGGUUACUGUCAGUUGUGAAAACACUAAAAAUUUGGUGUGAAUCGUGAGGAAAAAAAUACUGUUUAUCAUUUCAGAACACUUUUCAAAGAUUCACAGUUAAAAUACCAAAAUGUUACUUAUUGUUACUGUUAAAAUGCCAAAAUGUUUACUGAUUACCGAUUUUCAG